RNAcentral lists this unclassified non-coding RNA (284 nucleotides) under plant metagenome. Its description in RNAcentral is "partial contains small subunit ribosomal RNA, internal transcribed spacer 1, and 5.8S ribosomal RNA". The stretch from base 1 to 53 matches the Rfam family "Eukaryotic small subunit ribosomal RNA", at positions 1779 to 1831 of the family's 1831-position model. The record is from RNAcentral.
GGAAUAAAAGUCGUAACAAGGUUUCCGUAGGUGAACCUGCGGAAGGAUCAUUAUUGUAUAACCGAGGUGCGAGGGCUGUCGCUGACCCGAAAGGUCGUGCACGCCCGAGUGCCCUCACACACAUCCAUCUCACCCCUAUGUGCACCACCGCGUGGGUCCCCCUUUGGCUUGUUCGGAGGGGGGCUUACGUUUUCACACAAACUUUGUAUGCAGUGUAGAAUGUAUUUUUUGUUUUUGCGAUCACGCAAUCAAUACAACUCUCAACAACGGAUCUCUUGGCUCUC